Long non-coding RNA from Lytechinus pictus (painted urchin), 783 nucleotides. RefSeq lists it as uncharacterized. The record is from RefSeq and is a predicted model, not a curated record. Lineage: Eukaryota; Metazoa; Echinodermata; Echinoidea; Temnopleuroida; Toxopneustidae. The transcript is spliced from 3 exons.
UCUAAUACAGAGGAUACAUUCCCAUUCAUAUCAUCCGCAUCGGGUAAUUCGUCUUCAACAUAGAGUGGUUGCGUCCGUGCGGUGCUAUUCGAACCUUUCUUUUAACUAAUACUUCAACAUCUAUUUUGCCAAGAUGAAAGUGACUACGGGAUGUUUCAUUCUGGUAGCAUCAGUAACGGUAUUGGGAAUACUUCUGGAAUAUUUCAGUACUAAUGGUGAAGUAGUACCAUGCAGUACGAGUCGGAAACUGUUGCAUGCUUACGGGAGAGGAUCUUGCAGAAUGAUGACCAGGUCGUUAGAGUUUAGGCCCUUUAAUCAUACGGAUUUUAACCGUGAUCAUAUGGUCACUUCAUAUGUGAGAAAUGCUUCAAGGAUGUUAGCAGGCCUUCCGAAAGAAUCCUCAGAGAAAGAUGUUUCGUACGAUGUAUGUCAAAAAGCUACCUUAAUCACACCACAUUCCCAUCCCCUGACUGCCUUGGCUAGUUUUCCUGGAUCUGGAAAUACUUGGAUGCGAUAUCUCCUGGAAAGAGCGUCCGGAUUUUACACCGGGAGCGUAUACUAUGACAAAGGGCUUUACAACGGAGGUUUUAAAGGAGAAGCUGAGAGACCUAAAAUGGGAACUACUCUUACCGUGAAAACCCAUGAGUUGGGAUGGCAGAUAUCUUCCAAGAUCUUUAAAAAAGCGGUACUGAUUGUACGGAAUCCCUAUGAUUGUUUGCUAGCCUAUGCUAACUUUAGAGCUAAAGGUCAUACAGGGUUUGCAUCACGCCAGUACUUCAAAUC